RNAcentral lists this ribosomal RNA (444 nucleotides) under uncultured bacterium. RNAcentral describes it as "bacterial SSU rRNA". It matches the Rfam family "Bacterial small subunit ribosomal RNA", at positions 338 to 795 of the family's 1533-position model. The record is from RNAcentral.
CCUACGGGUUGCAGCAGUGGGGAAUUUUCCGCAAUGGGCGAAAGCCUGACGGAGCAAUCUCGCGUGAGGGAUGACGGCCUAUGGGUUGUAAACCUCUUUUUUCAGGGAGGAACAAAAUGACGUGUACCUGAAGAAUAAGCAUCGGCUAACUCCGUGCCAGCAGCCGCGGUAAGACGGAGGAUGCAAGUGUUAUCCGGAAUCACUGGGCGUAAAGCGUCUGUAGGUGGUUUAAUAAGUCAACUGUUAAAUCUUGAAGCUCAACUUCAAAAUCGCAGUCGAAACUAUUAGACUAGAGUAUAGUAGGGGUAAAGGGAAUUUCCAGUGGAGCGGUGAAAUGCGUAGAGAUUGGAAAGAACACCGAUGGCGAAGGCACUUUACUGGGCUAUUACUGACACUCAGAGACGAAAGCUAGGGUAGCAAAUGGGAUUAGAUACCCGAGUAGUC